Molecule: ribosomal RNA, 547 nt
Filed under: uncultured bacterium
Lineage: Bacteria
Description: bacterial SSU rRNA
Rfam family: Bacterial small subunit ribosomal RNA
Source: RNAcentral
ACGCCGUAAACGAUGUCUACUAGUCGUUGGGUCCCUUGAGGACUUAGUGACGCAGCUAACGCAAUAAGUAGACCGCCUGGGGAGUACGGCCGCAACGGUUAAAACUUCAAAUGAAUUGACCGGGGGCCCGCACAAGCGGUGGAGCAUGUGGUUUAAUUCGAUGCAACGCGAAGAACCUUACCUGGUCUUGACAUAUCUAGAAUCCUGCAGAGAUGCGGGAGUGCCUUCGGGAAUUAGAAUACAGGUGCUGCAUGGCUGUCGUCAGCUCGUGUCGUGAGAUGUUGGGUUAAGUCCCGCAACGAGCGCAACCCUUGUCCUUAGUUACCAGCGGUUUGGCCGGGAACUCUAAGGAUACUGCCAGUGACCAAACUGGAGGAAAGGCGGGGACGACGUCAAGUCAUCAUGGCCCUUACGACCAGGGCUACACACGUGCUACAAUGGUAGGUACAGAGGGCAGCUACACAGCGAUGUGAUGCGAAUCUCAAAAAGCCUAUCGUAGUCCAGAUUGGAGUCUGCAACUCGACUCCAUGAAGUAGGAAUCGCUAGU